This 1395-nucleotide ribosomal RNA is filed under the name Triticum aestivum (bread wheat). Its description in RNAcentral is "partial small subunit ribosomal RNA". The record is from RNAcentral. Lineage: Eukaryota; Viridiplantae; Streptophyta; Magnoliopsida; Poales; Poaceae.
AUGACGGCUCAUGCUUUGUUAAUGAUCUUUUUUAUGGUUAUGCCGGCGAUGAUAGGUGGAUUUGGUAAUUGGUUUGUUCCGAUUCUGAUAGGUGCACCUGACAUGGCAUUUCCACGAUUAAAUAAUAUAUCAUUCUGGUUGUUGCCACCAAGUCUCUUGCUCCUAUUAAGCUCAGCCUUAGUAGAAGUGGGCAGCAGCACUGGGUGGACAGUCUAUCCGCCCUUAAGUGGUAUUACCAACCAUUCUCGAGGAGCAGUUGAUUCAACAAUUUUUAGUCUUCAUCUAUUAGGUAUUUCAUCAAUUUUAGGUUCUAUCAAUUUCAUAACAACUAUCUUCAACAUGCGUGGAUCUGGAAUGACUAUGCAUAGAUUACCACUUUUUGUGUGGUCCAUUCUAGUGACAGCAUUCCUACUUUUAUUAUCACUUCCGGUACUGGCGGGGGCAAUUACAAUGUUAUUAACCGAUCGAAACUUUAAUACAACAUUUUUUGAUCCUGCAGGAGGGGGAGAUCCAAUAUUAUACCAGCAUCUCUUUUGGUUCUUCGGUCAUCCAGAGGUGUAUAUUCUCAUUCUGCCUGGAUUUGGUAUUAUUAGUCAUAUCGUAUCGACCUUUUCAAGAAAACCGGUCUUCGGGUAUCUAGGCAUGGUUUAUGCCAUGAUAAGUAUAGGUGUUCUUGGAUUUCUAGUUGGGGCUCAUCAUAUGGUUACUGUGGGCUUAGACGUUGAUACGCGUGCCUACUUCACCGCAGCUACCAUGAUCAUAGCUGUGCCCACAGGAAUCAAAAUCUUUAGUUGGAUCGCUACAAUGUGGGGAGGUUCGAUACAAUACAAAACACCCAUGUUAUUUGCUAUAGGGUUCAUCUUUUUGUUCACCAUAGGAGGGCUCACUGGAAUAGUUCUAGCACACUCUGGGCAAGACAUUGCUCUACAUGAUACUUAUUAUGUGGUUGCACAUUUCCAUUAUGCACUUUCUAUGGGAGCCGUUUUUUCUUUAUUUGCUGGAUUUUACUAUUGGGUGGGUAAAAUAUUUGGUCGGACAUAUCCUGAAACUUUAGGCCAAAUCCAUUUUUGGAUCACCUUUUUCGGGGUUAAUCUGACCUUCUUUCCCAUGCAUUUCUUAGGGCUUUCGGUUAUGCCACGUCGCAUUCCAGAUUAUCCAGAUGCUUACGCCGGAUGGAAUGCUCUGAGCAGUUUUGGUUCUUAUAUAUCUGUAGUUGGGAUUCGUCGUUUCUUCGUAGUUGUCGCAAUCACUUCAAGCAGUGGAAAGAACAAAAAAUGUGCGGAAAGUCCUUGGGCUGUUGAACAGAAUCCAAACACAAUAGAAUGGUUGGUACAAAGCACUCCGGCCUUUCAUACUUUUGGAGAACUUCCUGCGGUAAAAGAGACAAAAAGCUAA